UCUAAAUACUACCCAGUGACCGAUAGCGUAUAGUACUGUGAAGGAAAGGUGAAAAGCACCCCGGGAGGGGAGUGAAAAAGAACCUGAAACCCUGUGCCUACAAGCACCUAGAGCGCGUCAAAGCGUGAUAGGGUACUUUUUGUACAACGGUCCGGCGAGCGAUUGUAUGCAGCAAGGUUAAGGACUUAAGGUCUGGAGCCGAAGCGAAAGCGAGUUUGAAAAGGGCGUUAAGUUGCAUAUAAUGGGCCCGAAACCGGGUGACCUACCCAUGGUCAGGUUGAAGUGGAAGUAAAAUUCCAUGGAGGACCGAACCGACCUCCUUUGAAAAGGCGGCGGAUGAACUGUGGGUAGCGGAGAAAUUCCAAUCGAACCCGGAGAUAGCUGGUUCUCCCCGAAAUAGUUUUAGGACUAGCCUCAAGUUAGAUACCUGGAGGUAAAGCACUGAAUAGCCUAGCGGCCGAGAGGUUAGCGAAGCUUAUCAAACUCAGAAUGCCAGAGUAUUGAUGCUUGGGAGUCAGACAGUGUCAGAUAAAUGUCAUUGUCAAAAGGGAAACAGCCCAGAUCUACAGCUAAGGUCCCAAAGUCAGGUUAAGUGGAAAACGAUGUGAAGAUACGCAGACAACCAGGAUGUUGGCUCAGAAGCAGCCACUCAUUCAAAGAGUGCGUAAUAGCUCACUGGUCGAGCGUCUUUGCGCGGAGAAUUUAACGGGGCUAAACCUGACACCGAAGCUUAGGCAAUACAGCAAUGUAUUGGGUAGGGGAGCGUUGUAUACGCGGUGAAACAGUAGCGCAAGCGGCUGUGGAGUGUAUAGAAGUGAGAAUGCCGGAAUGAGUAGCGCGAAUGCAGUGAGAAUCUGCAUGGCCGAAAGCCUCAGGUUUCUGGAGGAAGGUUCGUCCGCUCCAGGUUAGUCGGGAGCUAAGGUGAGGCCUAACGGCGUAGCCGAUGCACAGACGGUAGAGAUUCCGUCACCACCAAAAGAGUUAAACACAGGGACACAUAUGAAGUCUCGGAGCCGGGUGUUGGUUCCGGUAGCGAUCGAGGGAAAUUAGUACCGAAGUCCGGGAUGGAAGAUGGCGAGAAAAGCUGUGUGUAUUUCUGCGGUGCCCGUACCGCAAACCGACACAGGUAGGUAGGAAGAAGAUUCUAAGGCCAACGGGAGAAGGGUUGUUAAGGAACUCGGCAAAUUGACCCCGUAACUUCGGGAGAAGGGGUGCUGCAGCAAUGCAGCCGCAGAGAAUCGGCCCAAGCAACUGUUUACCAAAAACACAGGUUUGUGCUAAAUCGAAAGAUGACGUAUACGAGCUGGCGCCUGCCCGGUGCUGGAAGGUUAAGAGGAGAUGUGCAAGCAUUGAAUCGAAGCCCCAGUGAACGGCGGCCGUAACUAUAACGGUCCUAAGGUAGCGAAAUUCCUUGUCAGGUAAGUUCUGACCCGCAUGAAAGGCGUAAUGAUUUGGGCACUGUCUCAACAGCCCGCCCGGCGAAAUUGUAGUACCGGCG
This 1498-nucleotide ribosomal RNA is filed under the name metagenome. RNAcentral describes it as "bacterial LSU rRNA". It matches the Rfam family "Bacterial large subunit ribosomal RNA", at positions 465 to 2055 of the family's 2925-position model. The record is from RNAcentral.